This 253-nucleotide ribosomal RNA is filed under the name uncultured bacterium. Its description in RNAcentral is "partial 16S ribosomal RNA". It matches the Rfam family "Bacterial small subunit ribosomal RNA", at positions 524 to 776 of the family's 1533-position model. The record is from RNAcentral.
GACGAAGGGGGCAAGCGUUGUUCGGAAUUACUGGGCGUAAAGGGCGCGUAGGCGGCCCGGUAAGUCCGUUGUGAAAGUCAAAGGCUCAACCUUUGAACGCCGAUGGAUACUGCCGGGCUAGAGUCCGGAAGAGGCGAGUGGAAUUCCUGGUGUAGCGGUGGAAUGCGCAGAUAUCAGGAGGAACACCAAUAGCGAAGGCAGCUCGCUGGGACGGUACUGACGCUGAGGCGCGAAAGCGUGGGGAGCGAACAGG